GACGAACGCUGGCGGCGUGCCUAAUACAUGCAAGUAGAACGCUGAAGGAGGAGCUUGCUCUUCUGGAUGAGUUGCGAACGGGUGAGUAACGCGUAGGUAACCUGCCUGGUAGCGGGGGAUAACUAUUGGAAACGAUAGCUAAUACCGCAUAAGAGUAGAUGUUGCAUGACAUUUGCUUAAAAGGUGCAAUUGCAUCACUACCAGAUGGACCUGCGUUGUAUUAGCUAGUUGGUGGGGUAACGGCUCACCAAGGCGACGAUACAUAGCCGACCUGGGAGGGUGAUCGGCCACACUGGGACUGAGACACGGCCCAGACGCCUACGGGAGGCAGCAGUAGGGAAUCUUCGGCAAUGGACGGAAGUCUGACCGAGCAACGCCGCGUGAGUGAAGAAGGUUUUCGGAUCGUAAAGCUCUGUUGUAAGAGAAGAACGAGUGUGAGAGUGGAAAGUUCACACUGUGACGGUAUCUUACCAGAAAGGGACGGCUAACUACGUG
Molecule: ribosomal RNA, 495 nt
Filed under: uncultured bacterium
Lineage: Bacteria
Description: partial 16S ribosomal RNA
Rfam family: Bacterial small subunit ribosomal RNA
Source: RNAcentral